CAGUCGCCGCGGGAACACGAAGGGUGCAAGCGUUAAUCGGAAUUACUGGGCGUAAAGCGUGCGUAGGCGGUUUGUUAAGUCUGUUGUGAAAUCCCCGGGCUCAACCUGGGAAUGGCAAUGGAUACUGGCAAGCUAGAGUGUGUCAGAGGAUGGUGGAAUUCCCGGUGUAGCGGUGAAAUGCGUAGAGAUCGGGAGGAACAUCAGUGGCGAAGGCGGCCAUCUGGGACAACACUGACGCUGAGGCACGAAAGCGUGGGGAGCAAACAGGAUUAGAUACCCCAGUAGUCCCUGUCUCUUAUAA
This 301-nucleotide ribosomal RNA is filed under the name uncultured bacterium. RNAcentral describes it as "partial 16S ribosomal RNA". It matches the Rfam family "Bacterial small subunit ribosomal RNA", at positions 509 to 809 of the family's 1533-position model. The record is from RNAcentral.